This 64-nucleotide transfer RNA is filed under the name Cherax cartalacoolah. RNAcentral describes it as "tRNA-Tyr". The record is from RNAcentral. Lineage: Eukaryota; Metazoa; Arthropoda; Malacostraca; Decapoda; Parastacidae.
GAUAAGGUGGCUGAGUAUAGGCGUUAGAUUGUAAAUCUAAAUAGAAGCGUUAGCUUUCUUGUUA